This 405-nucleotide ribosomal RNA is filed under the name uncultured bacterium. RNAcentral describes it as "bacterial SSU rRNA". It matches the Rfam family "Bacterial small subunit ribosomal RNA", at positions 354 to 776 of the family's 1533-position model. The record is from RNAcentral.
GUGGGGGAUAUUGGACAAUGGGGGCAACCCUGAUCCAGCGACGCCGCGUGAGUGAAGAAGUAUUUCGGUAUGUAAAGCUCUAUCAGCAGGGAAGAUAAUGACAGUACCUGACCAAGAAGCACCGGCUAAAUACGUGCCAGCAGCCGCGGUAAUACGUAUGGUGCAAGCGUUAUCCGGAUUUACUGGGUGUAAAGGGAGCGUAGGCGGUCUGCCAAGUCUGAUGUGAAAACCCGGGGCUCAACCCCGGGAGUGCAUUGGAAACUGGCGGACUGGAGUGUCGGAGAGGUAAGCGGAAUUCCUAGUGUAGCGGUGAAAUGCGUAGAUAUUAGGAGGAACACCAGUGGCGAAGGCGGCUUACUGGACGAUAACUGACGCUGAGGCUCGAAAGCGUGGGGAGCAAACAGG